UCAGCAAGCCGCGGUAAUACGUAGGGUGCAAGCGUUAAUCGGAAUUACUGGGCGUAAAGCGUGCGCAGGCGGUUAUACAAGACAGGCGUGAAAUCCCCGGGCUUAACCUGGGAAUGGCGCCUGUGACUGUAUAGCUAGAGUGUGUCAGAGGGGGGUAGAAUUCCACGUGUAGCAGUGAAAUGCGUAGAUAUGUGGAGGAAUACCAAUGGCGAAGGCAGCCCCCUGGGAUAACACUGACGCUCAUGCACGAAAGCGUGGGGAGCAAACAGGAUUAGAUACCCUGGUAGUCCACGCCCUAAACGAUGCUGACUAGUUGUUCGGGAUUUACAUCCUGAGUAACGUAGCUAACGCGUGAAGUCAGCCGCCUGGGGAGUACGGUCGCAAGAUUAAAACUCAAAGGA
RNAcentral lists this ribosomal RNA (401 nucleotides) under uncultured bacterium. Its description in RNAcentral is "bacterial SSU rRNA". It matches the Rfam family "Bacterial small subunit ribosomal RNA", at positions 508 to 908 of the family's 1533-position model. The record is from RNAcentral.